This 261-nucleotide unclassified non-coding RNA is filed under the name Hevea brasiliensis (rubber tree). Lineage: Eukaryota; Viridiplantae; Streptophyta; Magnoliopsida; Malpighiales; Euphorbiaceae. The record is from RNAcentral.
GUAUUGAUUGACUAUGACCGCGAGUAAUAGAAAUAUAAAAAACGGUCAACGAAUCCCAAGAGCCAAGAGGCGUUGAGCCAACUUUUGGGACAAGGUUUGUGACGGAAGCAGUGACAGAAUUGAUCAUACGUGUCAUUUUUUAUUUUGCAGAUAGACACUUCCCAUGUCUACGGCGGCGGUCAGCUAGGAAAAUAGUUCGACGAUAACACCGUUUUAUUAUGCAGAUAUAAGAUCCCACGUGACAAAAAAAUUCUCCCCUGU